CCUACGGGAGGCAGCAGUGGGGAAUAUUGCACAAUGGGGGAAACCCUGAUGCAGCGACGCCGCGUGAAGGAAGAAGUAUUUCGGUAUGUAAACUUCUAUCAGCAGGGAAGAAAAUGACGGUACCUGACUAAGAAGCCCCGGCUAACUACGUGCCAGCAGCCGCGGUAAUACGUAGGGGGCAAGCGUUAUCCGGAUUUACUGGGUGUAAAGGGAGCGUAGGCGGCGAUGCAAGUCAGAAGUGAAAGCCCGGGGCUCAACUCCGGGAUUGCUUUUGAAACUGUGUUGCUAGAGUGCAGGAGAGGCAAGUGGAAUUCCUAGUGUAGCGGUGAAAUGCGUAGAUAUGAGGAGGAACACCAGUGGCGAAGGCGGCUUACUGGACUGUAAAUGACGCUGAGGCUCGAAAGCGUGGGGAGCAAACAGGAUUAGAUACCCGAGUAGUC
This 440-nucleotide ribosomal RNA is filed under the name uncultured bacterium. RNAcentral describes it as "partial 16S ribosomal RNA". It matches the Rfam family "Bacterial small subunit ribosomal RNA", at positions 338 to 795 of the family's 1533-position model. The record is from RNAcentral.